GGUACUGGCAUUCAGUGAGCCUGGGGGAGAAGCUUCCUAAAAGCAUUGCCCUUGAAAAGCAGGGCAUACCUAUCUGAUACUGAGGAUGUAGAAUGCAGUUUGGAGAUGCUUCCUAGCUACCUAAUCUUCCAAGGCAAACCAUGCACUCUUCAUCCUGAUAUUUGUGAUGCCUCCCUGGGCUACAUGAUAGAGGGUGCACUGCAAAGGAUGUGAAGGAAAGUCACCACAGGGCAAAGGUGGAAACCCAGGGGCCUUUCCCCAGUGAGACUUUCUGGCUGUUCCUUUGGAACUUCCACCUGCUAGUUGCAGAUGUUUGCCACUGGAUGGGGCCCCAUGCUACGUGGGAACUGUUCAGUACUGUGGGUACUUAGUUCCAGCAGAGUUGGCUCCACCAGGGCACCAGGACUGCAGGCUUCUCAACUCCUGGCCUGGAGAGGCAGCUUCAGCAACCAGUGCCUGGGAAUCCACUAGCCCUUUCUCUGUGAGUCACGUGAGGGCAGAAUCUGCUCAAAGUCAGAGGGCUGGAGCAACCUGGAUUAUUGCCAGAGUGAGGGCCCAGCUCACUGGAGGUCAGAGUAAGAGAGUCAAGGAUGGGAAGAAACAGGGUUUUGCUCAGUCUUGCAGAUACUGAGGCACUCAGGAGGCUCAGGAUGGCAGCAACAGGGCAUGUGCUAAGGUGGGGAAGGAGUGACCAAGUGGCAUGGGUGCACCUUACCCCAGCCUCUUCCUUUUAGGCAGCCACCACAGAGGACAUCUGUUUACCUCUGUACCCUACCCCACCUCCAUGCUGGUAGAUAUAGUCUGGGGAUACCUUUAAAACAAACAAACAAACAAACAAACAAAACAGGAUCUGUCUAUCACCUGUCCAAAUCCUGAAGCAAAAUGAGCCUUCUUUAUGGCCACCUUGGAAAGGCCUGAGUCCCCAGCAUCACCUGGGAUACAAAGUGUUCUGAGGUGAGGGCAGAGUGCCCUCCUGCCCAGAUGCCACACUCCACAAUAUCUCUUCCUGGCAGACAGGUUUCUCUUAACUUCCUUUGGCAAAUUUGGUUUCACUUCCUUUUGCAACUUUAGAACCUUUCUCAGGUCGGUCAUAAGGUAGUGGAGAAGCCAGGAUUUGAACCCAUUCUGUCUGAUUCCAGAGCUCAUGCAUUAACCACCUGACUGUGGUGCCUCCCCAUCAUGUGUGCAUCAAGUAUGAUCAUUUUUGUAGUUCUCAGAGUACUUAGCACCAUGCACAUCUGUAAUAAGUACAGCCACUGCCUACUGGGAGGUCUAAAGGUUCAACUCAUAAGGGACCCACAGGCCACACUGGGCUCUAGUCUCCUUAAAAGAUGUGGGACGGAGAUCAACAAUUGUCAGCAGAACCCCAUCAGGCAUCUGUCUUCUCAUUGAGCCUUGCAGCAAACCACACAGCUGUCUAUAACCUAUCUGUUCUCAGAUGCAAGAACACAAGCUGCUCAUCAGUUGGGUGCAGGAUCCACUCUAGUACAAAAGCUGUGUGUCUCAAGGCAUAAUUCCUUAUGAUUACUUCAUAGCUCUGCUUUUGCCUUGAGACAAAAGAAAUUUCCUUCAAUUCCUACUUUUGCUGAGAUAUUGUUUUUUGAAAAUCAAUUAAAUCUUGUCAAUCACUUUUCCCACCUCUUUGAGAUACUUACAUGGCUUUUCUUCUUUAUUCUCUUAGUGUGGUAAAUUACACUGAUUGAUUUUAAAUAUGAAACCAGCCUUGAAUUCCAGGAACAAACUCCAUUUGGGCAUGCUAGAACAACCUUUUAUAUUUGGUUAGAUUUGAUUUCCUGAAGUGGUGUUAAAAGAUUUUCAUAUCUAUGUCCGUGAGGGAUAUUAAUCUGUACAUUUUUUAUUACUAUUUUCUGGUGUUAUGGUAAUGCUAGUCUCAUAGAAUGAAUUAGGAAAAGUUGCCUCCUUCUGUAUUUUCUGAGAGUUUGUGUGGCACUGGUAAAAUAUUUUCUGUAUAUGUUUGACAUAAUUCACCAGGAAAAUUAUUUGUACCUACAAGUUCCCUCCUGGAAAGAUGUUGAUAAUCACUUAUUAUCCUUUCAUUGUCUGCCAGAUCUGUGGCAUUGCUUUUUUCUCUGGUAUUAGUAAUUUAAAUUUUCCCUUAUUUCUUGAUCAAUUUUGGCAGACAUUUAUCAAUUUUAUUAAUCCCUUUAAAAAAUCUGUAUUUAGCUUUGUUAAUUUUCUCUAUUACAUACUUUUUAUUUCUACUCUUACGAUUACUAUUUCUUUAUUUCUCCUUUGGAUUUAGCCCAUUUUUCUAUUUGUCUAAUUAUAGGAUUUAAAAUUCAAUCAUUAUUUUUAGAUAUUUUUAUUUUUAAAUAUAAACACUAAAGUUGCAAUAUUACCUUGGGCACUGUUUUGACUGCAUUCCACAAGUUUUUAUUUGUCAUGUUUUAAUCACCAUUCAGUUCAAAAUACUUUCUAAUGCUCCUUGUUAUUUCUUCUUUGACCCAUUGGUUAUAUAAAAGUAUGUUUUGCUUUAUUUCUAAAUAUGUGAAGACUUUCUAGAUAUCUCAGUUAUUUAUUACUAAUUUAAUUUUAUUGUAGCCAGAGAAAAUACACUGUAUGUGUUCAAUCUUUGGAAAUUUCUUGAGACUUAUUUUUUGACCCAGUAUGUUUGCCCUCAUGAACAUUCCAUAUUCACUAGAAAAAGAAUGUGUGUUCAAAUAAUGUUGGAUAUAGUGUUAUGCAAAUGCCACUAAAUCAAGAUAAAUCUUUUGCACUCUUGUUUUUUGCCUGCUUGUUCUAACAAUAAGUGAGAAAGAAGUGUUAAUAUCUCC
RNAcentral lists this long non-coding RNA (2795 nucleotides) under Pan troglodytes (chimpanzee). RNAcentral's name for it is "lincRNA". Lineage: Eukaryota; Metazoa; Chordata; Mammalia; Primates; Hominidae. The record is from RNAcentral.